GAGCACAACGCACUGGUUCUUUAUAGAAGAGAUGGCACUGUUGUACCAUUUGAUGGUUCUUUUGAUCCAAUUAAGAAACGUAAAGCGCGACCUAAAGUUGACCUUGAUCAAGAGACUGAUAGAGUAUGGAAGCUUCUGCUGGAAAAUAUAAACAGUGAAGGUAUUAAUGGCACAGAUGAGGAGAAAGAAAAAUGGUGGGAACAAGAGCGUAAAGUGUUCCGUGGACGUGCAGACAAUUUUAUUUCACGAAUGCAUCUUGUGCAAGGUACAAAUUCUUCCAUUUUCAGGGGAAUUCAUAUUAAACAAGUCAUUUCAAAUCUUAUCUCAUGCAAUACAGUUCUACAUACUGCAAGCUACUCAAGGAAAAAGAAUAUGCAUUCUGUACGUUCAUGUACUGACCAUCAUGCUAGUCGCAAGCACCUUGGGAACCCUUAUGCAUAUACAUACAAAUACAAUGCUAUUCUUCAAUUUUAGAUAUAAGUUACAACUUCAUAUUCUAACAGUAUAAUAUUACUUUAACAGGAGAUAGACGCUUCUCUCCGUGGAAGGGAUCAGUUGUGGACUCAGUGGUUGGAGUUUUCCUUACUCAAAAUGUUUCAGACCACCUGUCUAGGUAAAGUAACGUUUCUAUAUACAACUAGAGAAUUUGACAUUAGAUAAAUUACAAGUGAGAAAUUCUCUAAUAUGUACCUCCUUACAGCUCUGCGUUCAUGUCAAUGGCUGCACAUUUUCCCCUGAAGUCAAGGAGCAACGAAAUAUCAUGCGAUGAAGAAGUUGCGAGCUUGGUCGUAGAUGAACCAGAAGUAUGCAUUAGUGAGAAUUCA
RNAcentral lists this long non-coding RNA (824 nucleotides) under Malus domestica (apple). Its description in RNAcentral is "long non-coding RNA (MDOM_LNC011037)". The record is from RNAcentral. Lineage: Eukaryota; Viridiplantae; Streptophyta; Magnoliopsida; Rosales; Rosaceae.